RNAcentral lists this unclassified non-coding RNA (231 nucleotides) under plant metagenome. Its description in RNAcentral is "partial contains small subunit ribosomal RNA, internal transcribed spacer 1, and 5.8S ribosomal RNA". The record is from RNAcentral.
UCUCCGUUGGUGAACCAGCGGAGGGAUCAUUACAGAGUUGCAAAACUCCCAAACCAUUGUGAACGUUACCUAUCCCGUUGCUUCGGCGGGCGGCCCGGGCCCCGCGCCCGGCGCCCCCCGGCCCCCCGUGGGCGCCCGCCGGAGGUAAACCAAACCCUUGAAUUGCAUGGCCUCCCUGAGUCUUCUGUACUGAAUAAGUCAGAACUUUUAACAACGGAUCUCUUGGUUCUG